Long non-coding RNA from Balaenoptera musculus (blue whale), 780 nucleotides. RefSeq lists it as uncharacterized. Lineage: Eukaryota; Metazoa; Chordata; Mammalia; Artiodactyla; Balaenopteridae. The record is from RefSeq and is a predicted model, not a curated record. The transcript has 5 exons.
ACCCGCGUAUUUAGGUUCCCACGUGCGCAGCCGGCCGCUGACCAAUCAGCGGCCGCUACAAGACAACGCCUGGGCCGUCAGCCGACCAAUCCAGCGGACCUCAGAGCCGUCGCAGGGGGGCGGGCAUUGCUAGAGCGACUGCCAAGGGGAGAGGCUCUGGUUCCCUCUGCGCGGCCGCAGUUCCGGCCUCCGAGCCCCUGUAGCUCGGCGUUCGUUCGCGGGGGCUGGUGGGAUCGGAACCCCGUGCUAGACCGAAAACACGAGCCUCUAAGGCUGAGAGGGGUUUAGUGCGGCUGCGCAGGAGCGCCGGCGCGCGCGAUUCUUCCUGUGGUGGAGCGGGUUUAAGGAGGCGGCUCGCGGGGGUGAGGCGUUUAGGGUGAGGUAACACAGACCUUGGAGCCAGAUUUGCUGGGUUUGUACCCCAGCCCCAACAGUUAAGCGCUCUAUGGCUUUGGGCAACUCAGGUAGCAUGAAUCUCAUCAGCACAGAGAGAAAGCUUCACUGAAAACUCAUUGCAGGUCGCACCCCCUCAACUCAGAUGGCAACAGUGCAGUCAGAGGCCUGCCCUUCUGAGCCUCAGACCCAUGCAGCAGUAGGAAUUGAGGUUAAAACACAGAUGCCACUAACCUGCAAACCAAAUGGCAUGAGUCAAUGACACCAGCUCCGAGACCUGUUUUGAGCCCAAGCAAUGGUCCAAGUCGCACAUAGGUCACCUUGCUUGAUCUAACAACAGAUCAACCUCAGAAAGAGGCAUUUUUGACAGAAUUUCACCCACUGAAA